RNAcentral lists this ribosomal RNA (678 nucleotides) under Macroglenes sp. D1533. Its description in RNAcentral is "bacterial SSU rRNA". It matches the Rfam family "Eukaryotic small subunit ribosomal RNA", at positions 37 to 839 of the family's 1831-position model. Lineage: Eukaryota; Metazoa; Arthropoda; Insecta; Hymenoptera; Pirenidae. The record is from RNAcentral.
UCAAAGAUUAAGCCAUGCAUGUCUCAGUGCAUGCCGAAUUAAGGUGAAACCGCGAAUGGCUCAUUAAAUCAGUUAUGGUUCCUUAGAUCGUACCCACAUUUACUUGGAUAACUGUGGUAAUUCUAGAGCUAAUACAUGCAAACCAGAGUUCCGACCAGAGAUGGAAGGAACGCUUUUAUUAGAUCAAAGCCAAUCGGUGGCGGGCUUGCUCGUUCACCGUUUACCUUGGUGACUCUGAAUAACUUUGUGCUGAUCGCACGGUCUCGCACCGGCGACGCAUCUUUCAAAUGUCUGCCUUAUCAACUGUCGAUGGUAGGUUCUGCGCCUACCAUGGUUGUAACGGGUAACGGGGAAUCAGGGUUCGAUUCCGGAGAGGGAGCCUGAGAAACGGCUACCACAUCCAAGGAAGGCAGCAGGCGCGCAAAUUACCCACUCCCGGCACGGGGAGGUAGUGACGAAAAAUUCAUCGCUCGCGAUGUUUAACUGACAUGAUUGUGGGACGUCCUACCGGUGGGCUUGCCUUUCGGGGCAGUCCAGCUAAUAUCCCAUCGCGGUGCUCUUCAUCGAGUGUCGAGGUGGGCCGGUACGUUUACUUUGAACAAAUUAGAGUGCUCAAAGCAGGCUAUGUUCGCCUGAAUACUGUGUGCAUGGAAUAAUGGAAUAGGACCUCGGUUCUAU